Molecule: ribosomal RNA, 253 nt
Filed under: uncultured bacterium
Lineage: Bacteria
Description: partial 16S ribosomal RNA
Rfam family: Bacterial small subunit ribosomal RNA
Source: RNAcentral
UACGAAGGGGGCUAGCGUUGCUCGGAAUCACUGGGCGUAAAGCGCACGUAGGCGGCUUUUUAAGUCAGGGGUGAAAUCCUGGAGCUCAACUCCAGAACUGCCUUUGAUACUGGGAAUCUCGAGUCCGGGAGAGGUGAGUGGAACUGCGAGUGUAGAGGUGAAAUUCGUAGAUAUUCGCAAGAACACCAGUGGCGAAGGCGGCUCACUGGCCCGGUACUGACGCUGAGGUGCGAAAGCGUGGGGAGCAAACAGG